UCCUCCCUCUGGCGGCGUGCCUAAUACAUGCAAGUAGAACGAUGAAGGAGGAGCUUGCUUCUCUGGAUGAGUUGCGAACGGGUGAGUAACGCGUAGGUAACCUGCCUGGUAGCGGGGGAUAACUAUUGGAAAAGAUAGCUAAUACCGCAUAAGAGUAGAUGUCGCAUGACAUUUGCUUAUAAGGUGCAAUUGCAUCACUACCAGAUGGACCUGCGUUGUAUUAGCUAGUUGGUGAAGUAACGGCUCACCAAGGCAACGAUACAUAGCCGACCUGAGAGGGGGAUCGGCCACACUUGGACUGAGACACGGCCCAGACUCCUACGGGAGGCAGCAGUAGGGAAUCUUCGGCAAUGGACGGAAGUCUGACCGAGCAACGCCGCGUGAGUGAAGAAGGUUUUCGGAUCGUAAAGCUCUGUUGUAAGAGAAGAACGAGUGUGAGAGUGGAAAGUUCACACUGUGACGGUAGCUUACCAGAAAGGGACGGCUAACUACGUG
RNAcentral lists this ribosomal RNA (495 nucleotides) under uncultured bacterium. RNAcentral's name for it is "partial 16S ribosomal RNA". It matches the Rfam family "Bacterial small subunit ribosomal RNA", at positions 36 to 507 of the family's 1533-position model. The record is from RNAcentral.